UCUCCGUUGGUGAACCGGCGGAGGGAUCAUUACCGAGUUAUCAACUCCCAAACCCCUGUGAACAUACCUGAACGUUGCUUCGGCGGGACCGCCCCGGCGCCCUCAUCGGCCCGGAACCAGGCGCCCGCCGGAGGACCCAAACUCUUGUAUUAUAGUGGCAUAUUCUGAGUCUCACAAGAAAAUGAAUCAAAACUUUCAACAACGGAUCUCUUGGCUCUG
This 219-nucleotide unclassified non-coding RNA is filed under the name plant metagenome. RNAcentral's name for it is "partial contains small subunit ribosomal RNA, internal transcribed spacer 1, and 5.8S ribosomal RNA". The record is from RNAcentral.